RNAcentral lists this transfer RNA (72 nucleotides) under Pertusaria plittiana. Its description in RNAcentral is "tRNA-Gln". Lineage: Eukaryota; Fungi; Ascomycota; Lecanoromycetes; Pertusariales; Pertusariaceae. The record is from RNAcentral.
UAUGUUGUUGACUAAUAGGCAAGUCGUAAAUUUUUGGUAUUUAUUUUAAGUGUUCGAAUCACUUCAACAUAA